This 253-nucleotide ribosomal RNA is filed under the name uncultured bacterium. RNAcentral describes it as "partial 16S ribosomal RNA". It matches the Rfam family "Bacterial small subunit ribosomal RNA", at positions 524 to 776 of the family's 1533-position model. The record is from RNAcentral.
UACGUAGGGUGCAAGCGUUGUCCGGAAUUAUUGGGCGUAAAGAGCUCGUAGGCGGUUUGUCGCGUCUGCUGUGAAAACUCGGGGCUUAACCCCGGGCCUGCAGUGGGUACGGGCAGACUAGAGUGCGGUAGGGGAGACUGGAAUUCCUGGUGUAGCGGUGAAAUGCGCAGAUAUCAGGAGGAACACCGGUGGCGAAGGCGGUUCUCUGGGCCUGUUCUGACGCUGAGGAGCGAAAGCGUGGGGAGCGAACAGG